Molecule: long non-coding RNA, 416 nt
Filed under: Carica papaya (papaya)
Lineage: Eukaryota; Viridiplantae; Streptophyta; Magnoliopsida; Brassicales; Caricaceae
Description: long non-coding RNA (CPAP_LNC000724)
Source: RNAcentral
GGCGAAUCACCGCCGCUUGCGGCGGCGCCGUUGCCGGAGCACGGCGGAGCCGCCGUGCCGGAAUUGCGAUAUUGGCCAAAAAGGGGCCCUGGGCCUAAUUUGGGAUUUUUUGGAACACGUGCAGGUACCAGUAGUGCGUUUCAGUUCCCCAGAAAAAAUUCAGGAAAAAUUAGGGACAGCCUGUAGGCACACUGUGAAGCCGUGUUCGGACUCCGAAACGAGUAAGGACCCCUCACCCUAUUUCCUAUCACGGUAUUAAAGUUCAAUAAAUGAUAAAACGGUAUUUCAUGAAUCAAUAGAUGUGUGAAAUUGUUUAAGGUCGCUAAUGGAGCCCGAGUUUAGUGUGUUUGUCAGUUAACUGUUAUUUGGCCUAUUUUACAGUUUUAAAUGCAGUAUGAGGUUUGAUGUUUUCAUUU